CGGUUAACGGGGGAUUAGGGUUCGAUUCCGGAGAGGGAGCCUGAGAAACGGCUACCACAUCUAAGGAAGGCAGCAGGCGCGCAAAUUACCCAAUUCUAACAGCAUAAGAGAGGUAGUGACAAGAAAUAACAGUACAAGGCAGUUAAAAUGCUUUGUAAUUGGAAUGAUAGAAAUUUAAAUACUUUUUAAAGUAUCAAUUGGAGGGCAAGUCUGGUGCCAGCAGCCGCGGUAAUUCCAGCUCCAAUAGCGUAUAUUAAAAUUGUUGCAGUUAAAAAGCUCGUAGUUGAAUUUUUGCUAAAAAUAACCGGUCUGCUUUUAUUAAUAAAAGUGGUAUCUUGGUGUGUUUUUAGCAAUAAUGUCCUUUGAAAUGUUUUUUACUUUAUUGUAAAAAACAAAUUUCAGGAUUUUUACUUUGAGAAAAUUAGAGUGUUUCAAGCAGGCUAACGUUUUGAAUACUGCAGCAUGGAAUAAUAAAAUAGGAUUUUAGUUCUACGUUAUUGGUUUUAAGAACUAAAUUAAUGAU
RNAcentral lists this ribosomal RNA (523 nucleotides) under Hepatozoon sp. 797. RNAcentral's name for it is "partial 18S ribosomal RNA". It matches the Rfam family "Eukaryotic small subunit ribosomal RNA", at positions 356 to 869 of the family's 1831-position model. Lineage: Eukaryota; Apicomplexa; Hepatozoidae. The record is from RNAcentral.